Molecule: non-coding RNA, 4076 nt
Organism: Ictidomys tridecemlineatus (thirteen-lined ground squirrel)
Lineage: Eukaryota; Metazoa; Chordata; Mammalia; Rodentia; Sciuridae
Source: RefSeq, a predicted model, not a curated record
GUAGCCGCCCCUUCCACCCCGACUCGAUCGUCGUCAGCCCUCGAGAGCCCCAUGCAGCUCGCCGAGGAUGGAUGCCGUCCCCCGAGGGUCCCGGGCUCUCGGUGACAUCGUCUAGCGCCUUCGGAGCCGUCAUCCUGAAGAAUGGGGGGCAGCGGGUGCGGGCUCGGGCCUCGCCCUGUGCAGCUCUCCUGCCGCCAGGCCGGUCCUCCUCCAUCCGGCAGGCCCCCUCCGACCUCCCCUCCUGGCCUCCCCCGUAGGAUUCUGAGCACAGAGCCCACAGCCCACCCCGCUUCUCCCCGGAUCCUCGUGCCCGGCUCCAAUAAACUCUAGCCCUAGCUGCCUCGUGCUGUGUCUUUGGUGUUAGCGGAGAUGCCUCCUCUUCCAAAUCUGAGAAGUCUUUCUGGGGUUUGGCAUUUGUCUCUUGCCAUGGGUGGGUUUUGUGGGCUUUCUCCCUUCUCUAGGGGACUCUUUUUUCACUGCCUUUGUGUAAAUUUUAGGUUAGGGUGGGGAGAAGAGGCUUAUCACUACCAGGGCCACUGAAGGUCAGACAGCAUGAAGGACUUUCCAGUUUUUAAUGUGCUUGGGACACAGAAAAGUGCCUUUCUGAAGAAAGAAAUUAAAAAUAAGUAAACAAAGAGGGUCUUCCCCAACAGUACGGGAGACAAACUGGGUUCUGAGAAUUGCUGUAUUUUAAUCACAUGUUAGGAACAGAGACUAAAUCACCCUGACGCAGAAGGCAGCUAGGAAGAAAGGGUGUGUGCCUUCUUCCAGGUGUGGAGGGUGGACAGGGGUGGCUGUGGGGACUUUCUGCUUCUCUGGAAACCUGCCACCGACCGUGAGUACAGCCUCUGGUCGCGAUUGCUGCUGCUGAGCUAUGGCUGAGAAACUCAGGGCGAGCUUCUGGGGAAGGAGUCAGGGGUAGUUGAGACCUGGCCCUGGGCAGGGCCUGGGAUCCUGCAUGCAGAAAGUAGUUUUCCUGCCCGGCUUCCCCCUCAAACUGGAGACUCUCCCAGGAGAGUGAGGCUGAGCUUUCCCAGAUGGACAGUUUGGUCCGGGGAUGUGGAGGAGAGGAGUGUCAGUUACUCAGCGGGCCCCAGCAUUCCCCAGAGGGCUACUUGGUCAGAAGUGGAAUGCAGGAAGCCAGCGCUCUACACUAGCCAGGCUAGACGGUGUCCAGGGGCACAGACUUGGGGCUGAGUUGCCCAGAUUCAAAUCCCAGGUCUUCCUCUUGUUGCCUAUGUGACUUCAGGCAGGUUACUCAACCUCUCUGGUCCUGUAAAAUGAAGAGGACGGCACUUACAUAGUUCCUGUGAGGACUCCAUAAGCUAGUGACCUAAAGCCCUCAGAGCAAAGCCACAUGUUCUCUCCACCACCUCUGUCCCUCGGGGCUUUAAAAACCACAGCUAGGGUCCCACGGGGUAUCAAGUUAGUCCAAGGCCCUGGACCCAGCGAGUAGUGAGUUCAGGGGAGGCUCUGCUCCAGCUGGUCCCUUCUUUCUAGUUUUUAAGUUUCUUGGCUCCAGUUGUCACCAGUCUCCUGCUCUGUCUGCAUCUUUACCGUCUCCUCGCCCCCGUGCUGUCUGUCUGCACCGUCUGUCUCUCUGGUGUCUCUCCAUGUUGUCUCUGUCACCGCUCUUCCCCCUCCUUUCCCGCCCCCUGCUCAUUUCUCCCUUGGUCUCAGCCUCCACACCUCUGGCUCCUUCCCUUUCUUUGCUUCUCUUCCCUUCUCCCUCUUCUCAACUUCUCUUUCAGUCCCUCCCUUAAUCUUUCAUUUUACAAAACAACAACAGGUUUUUUUUUUUUUUUUUUUUUUAGCAGGUACAGUGUGCAAGGACUUACAAACACUGGAGCACAGCACGGAACAGAGCAGGCAAAACCUGCUGCUCUCCGAAGCCCACAAUGCAUAUCAUCAGUAACUCACAUGUGUUACGUCAGGUAGCCACAGCACAGAGGAAAAAAUGAAACAGCAAAGGUGGCAGGGGAGAUAGGGGAGCUGGUUACUGGACCUGGGCAGGCAGAUCUCUGGGGAAAGAUUGCUCCAGGCCAAGGCAAGUGCAAAGGCCCUGCGGCUGGAGGGGCUUGGCUGGUUAUUGAUCAGCAACAGGCAAGUGUGGCCAGAGUAAGAGGGAGUGAAGGGAGAGAGGAAGGAGGUGAUGAAGGGCAGAAUGCUCAUGGCCUUGUGGGCCUCAGUAAGGACUUUGGUUUUUACUUGGAAUGAGGCAGGAGCCGUGGGAAGCUUCUGAGCUGAGGAGGGAUGGUGCUGACUUGGAUAUUGGCCACCGCCUCUGGCUGCCAUGCAUUGGGGACCGUCGGCGCCACAGCCGAAGCUGGGAGGCCAGUGAGGGGGUGCUGACAGGAGAGGGAGAGAAGAGGUUGGUUCAAACCUCUCUGGAUGGUGGUAAAAUAUACAUAAAUUACCACUUUAAAGUCCAAGUUCAAGGGCAUUGAAUACAUUCCCAUGGUCUUGCACACUGCUGUCUUCCCACGCUGCAACCCCUGGUCCCUGCCUCCCUGGCCACGCCAAUCUACUGCCUGUCACUCUGAGUUGCUCCGCUGCACACAUUCCACAUCCUUGGAAUCCUACACCGGGCCAUCUCUGGUGUCCUGCUUCCUUCCCGCAGCACUGUGGCUUUGAGAUCCAACCUGUGACCCUGUGUAUCCACACACCACUGGUCUCCAUGGCUGAGCGACAUGCCACUGUACACGCAGACCAGUGAUGUGCCCUCUGCAACCUGCCACUGACUUCCCACCUUUCGCUGUCCAGGGGAACCGCAAAGGGGUCAACUUCUGCCCUUCAUAGGCUUUAGGAUCUCCAAAGGAUUCCAGAAACCCUCCUAUGCCAAGAUGAUACCAGGAAAAUCAAACUCUGGCCGAGAGGACGCUAUUUAAAGCUUCGAGAGACUUCCUGUGAGAGAACCGGAGACCAGCCGCCAAGCUCUCCCCUGGGGGUUGCUCUGGCUUGAAUUUUUCUUUUUUUUUUUCCUUCCAAAAAGUCAUGUAGAAACGCAGUUGCUAUCUUGGUGCGUUAGGAGGUGAGCCUUCGGGAGGUGAUAGAUAGGUCAUGGGAGCUCUGUCCUCCUGGUGGGAUUAACGCCCUUGGAAAAAGAACAGGUGCUGUUUUACGCCACGUGACAACGCAGUCCUUCCUCCGUUCCCUCCAGCACACAGCGUUCAAGGCGCCUUCUUGGAAUCGGAGCCCUCAGCCUGCCUGCCCUUGACCUUGGACUUCUCCGUCUCCAGAUCUGGAGCUAAUACGUUUCUGCUAAUAAACCCCCGUCUGUCUGUCCCGUUACAGCAGCACCCUGCCCUCCCACAGAGCUUGGUCCUGACCUUGACGGUGAUGGCAUUAGGUCGCAGGGCCCUUUGGGACUACUGCCUUACAAGGAGGCCACCGCUAGCCAGCUGGCCCCUCCACCCAGCCCUCCGCAGGCAAGUGGGCCUCAGACACAGAAUGUGCCUGUGCCUUGGUUUUGGACCUCCCAGCCUCCCAAACGGGCAGAAAUGUUUCUGGUGUUUAUAAGCCACCCAGUUCAGGUAUGUUGGUGACAGCAGCCCACAGGGAACCUGCCUCGGCUCUGGAACUGAGGUUCUGCCCUUCUUGGGCAAUACCCAGACAGGCUGCCAGGCCUUUCUCUGUCCACUCAGUAGUAUCCAUUCAUGAAGGUGGGGUGACCUCACAGCUGCCUGUGAGGCCCCACCUCCCCAUACUGUUGCGUUGGGAAUGAAUUUCUCAUGCGUGAAUUUUAAAAUUUUUAAUUUUAAUUGAUUAUUCACUGAGUUGUUGAGGGUCUCGAUAAGUUGCUGAGGCUGGCCUCAAACUUUCGGUCCUCCUGCCUCAGCCUCUGGUGUCACUGGGAUUACAGGCAUGCGCUACCGCACCCAGUUCCCGCACACUAAUUUUGGGGAACACAUUCAAACAUUAGGAAUACUCCAAAUAAUUAAAAGCAGGGUCUCAAAGAGGACCUGAGUUUCUAGGAGCCAGGCCUGGUGGCCCACACUUGUAAACCCGUGACUUGGGAGGCUGAGGCAGGAGGAUUGCCAGUUUGAGGCCAGACUCAGCAAUUUAGUGAGGCCCUA